AGAGUUUGAUCCUGGCUCAGGACGAACGCUGGCGGCGUGCCUAAUACAUGCAAGUAGAACGCUGAAGAGAGGAGCUUGCUCUUCUUGGAUGAGUUGCGAACGGGUGAGUAACGCGUAGGUAACCUGCCUUGUAGCGGGGGAUAACUAUUGGAAACGAUAGCUAAUACCGCAUAACAAUGGAUGACACAUGUCAUUUAUUUGAAAGGGGCAAUUGCUCCACUACAAGAUGGACCUGCGUUGUAUUAGCUAGUAGGUGAGGUAACGGCUCACCUAGGCGACGAUACAUAGCCGACCUGAGAGGGUGAUCGGCCACACUGGGACUGAGACACGGCCCAGACUCCUACGGGAGGCAGCAGUAGGGAAUCUUCGGCAAUGGGGGCAACCCUGACCGAGCAACGCCGCGUGAGUGAAGAAGGUUUUCGGAUCGUAAAGCUCUGUUGUAAGUCAAGAACGAGUGUGAGAGUGGAAAGUUCACACUGUGACGGUAGCUUACCAGAAAGGGACGGCUAACUACGUGCCAGCAGCCGCGGUAAUACGUAGGUCCCGAGCGUUGUCCGGAUUUAUUGGGCGUAAAGCGAGCGCAGGCGGUUUGAUAAGUCUGAAGUUAAAGGCUGUGGCUCAACCAUAGUUCGCUUUGGAAACUGUCAAACUUGAGUGCAGAAGGGGAGAGUGGAAUUCCAUGUGUAGCGGUGAAAUGCGUAGAUAUAUGGAGGAACACCGGUGGCGAAAGCGGCUCUCUGGUCUGUAACUGACGCUGAGGCUCGAAAGCGUGGGGAGCGAACAGGAUUAGAUACCCUGGUAGUCCACGCCGUAAACGAUGAGUGCUAGGUAUUGGAUCCUUUCCGGGAUUCAGUGCCGCAGCUAACGCAUUAAGCACUCCGCCUGGGGAGUACGACC
Molecule: ribosomal RNA, 897 nt
Filed under: uncultured bacterium
Lineage: Bacteria
Description: bacterial SSU rRNA
Rfam family: Bacterial small subunit ribosomal RNA
Source: RNAcentral